Molecule: ribosomal RNA, 253 nt
Filed under: uncultured prokaryote
Description: partial 16S ribosomal RNA
Rfam family: Bacterial small subunit ribosomal RNA
Source: RNAcentral
ACGGAGGGAGCUAGCGUUGUUCGGAUAUACUGGGCGUAAAGCGCACGUAGGCGGCGUCGUAAGUCAGGGGUGAAAUCCUGGAGCUCAACCCCGGAACUGCCUUUGAAACUGCAAUGCUAGAAUCCUGGAGAGGCGAGUGGAAUUCCGAGUGUAGAGGUGAAAUUCGUAGAUAUUCGGAAGAACACCAGUGGCGAAGGCGACUCGCUGGACAGGUAUUGACGCUGAGGUGCGAAAGCGUGGGGAGCAAACAGGA